Molecule: ribosomal RNA, 1372 nt
Filed under: uncultured bacterium
Lineage: Bacteria
Description: bacterial SSU rRNA
Rfam family: Bacterial small subunit ribosomal RNA
Source: RNAcentral
GAUGAACGCUGGCGGCGUGCCUAAUACAUGCAAGUCGAGCGAACGGACGAGAAGCUUGCUUCUCUGAUGUUAGCGGCGGACGGGUGAGUAACACGUGGAUAACCUACCUAUAAGACUGGGAUAACUUCGGGAAACCGGAGCUAAUACCGGAUAAUAUUUUGAACCGCAUGGUUCAAAAGUGAAAGACGGUCUUGCUGUCACUUAUAGAUGGAUCCGCGCUGCAUUAGCUAGUUGGUAAGGUAACGGCUUACCAAGGCAACGAUGCAUAGCCGACCUGAGAGGGUGAUCGGCCACACUGGAACUGAGACACGGUCCAGACUCCUACGGGAGGCAGCAGUAGGGAAUCUUCCGCAAUGGGCGAGAGCCUGACGGAGCAACGCCGCGUGAGUGAUGAAGGUCUUCGGAUCGUAAAACUCUGUUAUUAGGGAAGAACAUAUGUGUAAGUAACUGUGCACAUCUUGACGGUACCUAAUCAGAAAGCCACGGCUAACUACGUGCCAGCAGCCGCGGUAAUACGUAGGUGGCAAGCGUUAUCCGGAAUUAUUGGGCGUAAAGCGCGCGUAGGCGGUUUUUUAAGUCUGAUGUGAAAGCCCACGGCUCAACCGUGGAGGGUCAUUGGAAACUGGAAAACUUGAGUGCAGAAGAGGAAAGUGGAAUUCCAUGUGUAGCGGUGAAAUGCGCAGAGAUAUGGAGGAACACCAGUGGCGAAGGCGACUUUCUGGUCUGUAACUGACGCUGAUGUGCGAAAGCGUGGGGAUCAAACAGGAUUAGAUACCCUGGUAGUCCACGCCGUAAACGAUGAGUGCUAAGUGUUAGGGGGUUUCCGCCCCUUAGUGCUGCAGCUAACGCAUUAAGCACUCCGCCUGGGGAGUACGACCGCAAGGUUGAAACUCAAAGGAAUUGACGGGGACCCGCACAAGCGGUGGAGCGUGUGGUUUAAUUCGAAGCAACGCGAAGAACCUUACCAAAUCUUGACAUCCUUUGACAACUCUAGAGAUAGAGCCUUCCCCUUCGGGGGACAAAGUGACAGGUGGUGCAUGGUUGUCGUCAGCUCGUGUCGUGAGAUGUUGGGUUAAGUCCCGCAACGAGCGCAACCCUUAAGCUUAGUUGCCAUCAUUAAGUUGGGCACUCUAAGUUGACUGCCGGUGACAAACCGGAGGAAGGUGGGGAUGACGUCAAAUCAUCAUGCCCCUUAUGAUUUGGGCUACACACGUGCUACAAUGGACAAUACAAAGGGCAGCGAAACCGCGAGGUCAAGCAAAUCCCAUAAAGUUGUUCUCAGUUCGGAUUGUAGUCUGCAACUCGACUACAUGAAGCUGGAAUCGCUAGUAAUCGUAGAUCAGCAUGCUACGGUGAAUACGUUCCCGGGUCU